AGUGAACGCUGGCGGUAGGCCUAACGCAUGCAAGUCGAACGGCAGCACAGGAGAGCUUGCUCUCUGGGUGGCGAGUGGCGGACGGGUGAGGAAUACAUCGGAAUCUACUCUGUCGUGGGGGAUAACGUAGGGAAACUUACGCUAAUACCGCAUACGACCUACGGGUGAAAGCAGGGGACCUUCGGGCCUUGCGCGAUUGAAUGAGCCGAUGUCGGAUUAGCUAGUUGGCGGAGUAAAGGCCCACCAAGGCGACGAUCCGUAGCUGGUCUGAGAGGAUGAUCAGCCACACUGGAACUGAGACACGGUCCAGACUCCUACGGGAGGCAGCAGUGGGGAAUAUUGGACAAUGGGCGCAAGCCUGAUCCAGCCAUACCGCGUGGGUGAAGAAGGCCUUCGGGUUGUAAAGCCCUUUUGUUGGGAAAGAGAUCCAGCUGGCUAAUACCCGGUUGGGAUGACGGUACCCAAAGAAUAAGCACCGGCUAACUCCGUGCCAGCCGCCGCCGUAA
RNAcentral lists this ribosomal RNA (506 nucleotides) under uncultured bacterium. RNAcentral describes it as "partial 16S ribosomal RNA". It matches the Rfam family "Bacterial small subunit ribosomal RNA", at positions 29 to 523 of the family's 1533-position model. The record is from RNAcentral.